This is a small nuclear RNA of Myripristis murdjan (pinecone soldierfish), 135 nucleotides long. Ensembl annotates it as U11 spliceosomal RNA. Its record names the gene RNU11-3P. The record is from Ensembl. Lineage: Eukaryota; Metazoa; Chordata; Actinopteri; Holocentriformes; Holocentridae.
AAAAAGGGCUUCUGUCGUGAGUGGCACAGGGGGAGUGGACUGAUCCACUUCUCCUGCGGAAUCGACAUCAAGAGAUUUCGGAAGCACAAUUUUUAAAUCUCGGGACUGCUAGUGAUCGCUCAUCCUGGCGUCCCA